UACAGAGGGUGCGAGCGUUAAUCGGAAUUACUGGGCGUAAAGGGUGCGUAGGCGGUUAUUUAAGUUAGAUGUGAAAUCCCCGGGCUUAACCUGGGAAUUGCAUUUGAUACUGGAUGGCUAGAGUAGAGUAGAGGGAAGUGGAAUUUCCGGUGUAGCGGUGAAAUGCGUAGAUAUCGGAAAGAACAUCAGUGGCGAAGGCGGCUUCCUGGACUCAUACUGACGCUGAGGCACGAAAGCGUGGGGAGCAAACAGG
This 253-nucleotide ribosomal RNA is filed under the name uncultured bacterium. RNAcentral's name for it is "partial 16S ribosomal RNA". It matches the Rfam family "Bacterial small subunit ribosomal RNA", at positions 524 to 776 of the family's 1533-position model. The record is from RNAcentral.